GCCGGGUGUGGUGGUGUACACUUGUAAUCCCAGCACUUUGGGAGGCUGAGGUGGGUGGAUCACCUGAGGUCAGGAGUUUGAGACCAGCCUGGCCAACAUGGUGAAACCCCAUCUCUA
This 117-nucleotide non-coding RNA is filed under the name Pan troglodytes (chimpanzee). Lineage: Eukaryota; Metazoa; Chordata; Mammalia; Primates; Hominidae. The record is from Rfam by way of RNAcentral.